RNAcentral lists this ribosomal RNA (1905 nucleotides) under Escherichia coli. Its description in RNAcentral is "partial 23S ribosomal RNA". It matches the Rfam family "Bacterial large subunit ribosomal RNA", at positions 911 to 2798 of the family's 2925-position model. The record is from RNAcentral. Lineage: Bacteria; Pseudomonadati; Pseudomonadota; Gammaproteobacteria; Enterobacterales; Enterobacteriaceae.
UGUUUCGGCAAGGGGGUCAUCCCGACUUACCAACCCGAUGCAAACUGCGAAUACCGGAGAAUGUUAUCACGGGAGACACACGGCGGGUGCUAACGUCCGUCGUGAAGAGGGAAACAACCCAGACCGCCAGCUAAGGUCCCAAAGUCAUGGUUAAGUGGGAAACGAUGUGGGAAGGCCCAGACAGCCAGGAUGUUGGCUUAGAAGCAGCCAUCAUUUAAAGAAAGCGUAAUAGCUCACUGGUCGAGUCGGCCUGCGCGGAAGAUGUAACGGGGCUAAACCAUGCACCGAAGCUGCGGCAGCGACGCUGAUGCGUUGUUGGGUAGGGGAGCGUUCUGUAAGCCUGUGAAGGUGUGCUGUGAGGCAUGCUGGAGGUAUCAGAAGUGCGAAUGCUGACAUAAGUAACGAUAAAGCGGGUGAAAAGCCCGCUCGCCGGAAGACCAAGGGUUCCUGUCCAACGUUAAUCGGGGCAGGGUGAGUCGACCCCUAAGGCGAGGCCGAAAGGCGUAGUCGAUGGGAAACAGGUUAAUAUUCCUGUACUUGGUGUUACUGCGAAGGGGGGACGGAGAAGGCUAUGUUGGCCGGGCGACGGUUGUCCCGGUUUAAGCGUGUAGGCUGGUUUUCCAGGCAAAUCCGGAAAAUCAAGGCUGAGGCGUGAUGACGAGGCACUACGGUGCUGAAGCAACAAAUGCCCUGCUUCCAGGAAAAGCCUCUAAGCAUCAGGUAACAUCAAAUCGUACCCCAAACCGACACAGGUGGUCAGGUAGAGAAUACCAAGGCGCUUGAGAGAACUCGGGUGAAGGAACUAGGCAAAAUGGUGCCGUAACUUCGGGAGAAGGCACGCUGAUAUGUAGGUGAAGUCCCUCGCGGAUGGAGCUGAAAUCAGUCGAAGAUACCAGCUGGCUGCAACUGUUUAUUAAAAACACAGCACUGUGCAAACACGAAAGUGGACGUAUACGGUGUGACGCCUGCCCGGUGCCGGAAGGUUAAUUGAUGGGGUCAGCGCAAGCGAAGCUCUUGAUCGAAGCCCCGGUAAACGGCGGCCGUAACUAUAACGGUCCUAAGGUAGCGAAAUUCCUUGUCGGGUAAGUUCCGACCUGCACGAAUGGCGUAAUGAUGGCCAGGCUGUCUCCACCCGAGACUCAGUGAAAUUGAACUCGCUGUGAAGAUGCAGUGUACCCGCGGCAAGACGGAAAGACCCCGUGAACCUUUACUAUAGCUUGACACUGAACAUUGAGCCUUGAUGUGUAGGAUAGGUGGGAGGCUUAGAAGUGUGGACGCCAGUCUGCAUGGAGCCGACCUUGAAAUACCACCCUUUAAUGUUUGAUGUUCUAACGUUGACCCGUAAUCCGGGUUGCGGACAGUGUCUGGUGGGUAGUUUGACUGGGGCGGUCUCCUCCUAAAGAGUAACGGAGGAGCACGAAGGUUGGCUAAUCCUGGUCGGACAUCAGGAGGUUAGUGCAAUGGCAUAAGCCAGCUUGACUGCGAGCGUGACGGCGCGAGCAGGUGCGAAAGCAGGUCAUAGUGAUCCGGUGGUUCUGAAUGGAAGGGCCAUCGCUCAACGGAUAAAAGGUACUCCGGGGAUAACAGGCUGAUACCGCCCAAGAGUUCAUAUCGACGGCGGUGUUUGGCACCUCGAUGUCGGCUCAUCACAUCCUGGGGCUGAAGUAGGUCCCAAGGGUAUGGCUGUUCGCCAUUUAAAGUGGUACGCGAGCUGGGUUUAGAACGUCGUGAGACAGUUCGGUCCCUAUCUGCCGUGGGCGCUGGAGAACUGAGGGGGGCUGCUCCUAGUACGAGAGGACCGGAGUGGACGCAUCACUGGUGUUCGGGUUGUCAUGCCAAUGGCACUGCCCGGUAGCUAAAUGCGGAAGAGAUAAGUGCUGAAAGCAUCUAAGCACGAAACUUGCC